RNAcentral lists this ribosomal RNA (485 nucleotides) under uncultured bacterium. Its description in RNAcentral is "partial 16S ribosomal RNA". It matches the Rfam family "Bacterial small subunit ribosomal RNA", at positions 28 to 507 of the family's 1533-position model. The record is from RNAcentral.
GAUGAACGCUAGCGAUAGGCUUAACACAUGCCAGUCGAGGGGCAGCGCGGGUAGCAAUACCUGUCGGCGACCGGCGCACGGGUGAGUAACGCGUAUGUAACCUGCCCGCAACAGGGGGAUAACCCGGCGAAAGUCGGACUAAUACCGCAUAAAACAGGGGUCCCGCAUGGGAAUAUUUGUUAAAGAUUUAUCGGUUGCGGAUGGGCAUGCGUACCAUUAGGUAGUUGGUGAGGUAACGGCUCACCAAGCCUUCGAUGGUUAGGGGUUCUGAGAGGAAGGUGCCCCACAGUGGUACUGAGACACGGACCAGACUCCUACGGGAGGCAGCAGUGAGGAAUAUUGGUCAAUGGGCGAGAGCCUGAACCAGCCAAGUCGCGUGAAGGAGGACUGCCCUAUGGGUUGUAAACUUCUUUUACAAGGGAAUAAAAUGAGAUACGUGUAUUUUAUUGCAUGUACCUUGGGAAUAAGCAUCGGCUAACUCCGUG